GCUGCUGAAUUUGGGUCAACAAGGAGCCAGUCUGGGCUCAGAAGACUGACUUAUGGAGGGUGAAUACACCAAAGAAGAGGAAACUGAAGCUUAGAAAAAGGAUCAGUAACUUCCCCAAGGCUACACAGCUAGUAAAAGUUGGAUUAUCUUCAUGGCUUUGACUGACCAGCUCAGUAUCCUUUAAGGCACAACUGAAUUCUCUGGACCCUUCUUAAAUGAGAGGGCUGGACUACAUGAUCACCAAGACCGUUCCAAAGGUCAGUUCCUACAGUCUCUAUACUUUGUGGAUUCAGUCUUUGAGCCUAGCUCACUUAUUCAAUUUCCUAAAUAUAAUGCUUUUUAUUUGGAGCAAAUACGUGUAUAAUUUUAUUACUGGUAACAUACCACUUAUCUCUAAUGUGAGCUGUGUAGGUUAAUAAAACUGUAAUCGUUUAUUGCAUUUCUUGCAUACGAGGUGCAAGUCCGGGGAGAGGAAAUCCCGGGGCAAAAUACCUCUAAAAGCUGAAAUCAGUUGAAGGGAGAAAUAAAGUUUAAAACCCAUUUAUUGCUUAUAAAUUGCAGUCCAGGGCCAUCUCUCUCCCCUGCUCCAGAAGGAAGCAAGUAAGUCAGCAAGCCAGCCCCUCCCUUUAAAUGCCGAGGUUCAGACAUGCCCUCCGUUGCCCAGGUAAUUACCCAUUGACAUAGAAAUGAACUUCUCUCCACCGCUGAGGAUAUGCAAAAUGCACUAAAGUCAGGUGAGAUAAUCUGGAAAUGUUACAAUUUUA
Molecule: long non-coding RNA, 764 nt
Organism: Manis pentadactyla (Chinese pangolin)
Lineage: Eukaryota; Metazoa; Chordata; Mammalia; Pholidota; Manidae
Exons: 3
Source: RefSeq, a predicted model, not a curated record